GCAUAUCAAUAAGCGGAGGAAAAGAAACUAACAAGGAUUCCCCUAGUAACGGCGAGUGAAGCGGGAAGAGCUCAAAUUUGUAAUCUGGCGCCUUCGGCGUCCGAGUUGUAAUCUCGAGAAGUGUUUUCCGCGCCGGACCGCAUACAAGUCUGUUGGAAUACAGCGUCAUAGUGGUGAGAGCCCCGUAAUUGAUGUGGAUGCCCGGUGCUUUGUGAUACACUUUCGAAGAGUCGAGUUGUUUGGGAAUGCAGCUCAAAUUGGGUGGUAAAUUCCAUCUAAAGCUAAAUAUUGGCGAGAGACCGAUAGCGAACAAGUACCGUGAGGGAAAGAUGAAAAGCACUUUGGAAAGAGAGUUAACAGUACGUGAAAUUGUUGGAAGGGAAACGCUUGAAGUCAGACUUGCUAUUCGGAAUUCAGCCGCAAGGUGUACUUUUCGAUUUGCAGGCCAGCAUCAGUUUUCGGGGGUGGAAAAGGGCUGAAGGAAGGUAGCAAUUUCGGUUGUGUUAUAGCUUUCAGCUGGAUUCAUCUUUGGGGACUGAGGAACGCAGCGCGCUUAUUGCAAGUCUUUCGAGACUUUCGUGCUUAGGAUGCUGGUGGAAUGGCUUUAAACGACCCGUCUUGAAACACGGAC
Molecule: ribosomal RNA, 631 nt
Filed under: Pucciniomycotina sp. LP-2020c
Lineage: Eukaryota; Fungi; Basidiomycota
Description: partial large subunit ribosomal RNA
Rfam family: Eukaryotic large subunit ribosomal RNA
Source: RNAcentral